This 253-nucleotide ribosomal RNA is filed under the name uncultured bacterium. Its description in RNAcentral is "partial 16S ribosomal RNA". It matches the Rfam family "Bacterial small subunit ribosomal RNA", at positions 524 to 776 of the family's 1533-position model. The record is from RNAcentral.
UACGUAGGGUGCAAGCGUUGUCCGGAAUUAUUGGGCGUAAAGAGCUCGUAGGCGGUCCGUCACGUCGGCUGUGAAAACCUGGUGCUCAACCCCGGGCCUGCAGCCGAUACGGGCGGACUAGAAUUCGGUAGGGGAGACUGGAAUUCCUGGUGUAGCGGUGAAAUGCGCAGAUAUCAGGAGGAGCACCGGUGGCGAAGGCGGGUCUCUGGGCCGAUAUCGACGCUGAGGAGCGAAAGCGUGGGGAGCGAACAGG